UUUAAUGACUAUUUUACAGGAACUGUCAGCUUUCUAAAGCCCAGUGGCAUUGGGCGUCACUGUAUUACCAGCCUUUUUACACAAUUUGCCUGACUGUAAAUCGGAGGUUUAAAAGUACAAAAAAAAGCUCCUAUUUGGUUUAAUGACUGACUGAUAGAGGUUGAUUAAUCUUUCUAUGCUCAGAUGUUUUACUCACAAAGGUCAUCUAUUGUUUGUUUAAACUCACUUUUCUAAUUUUAGAAACACAAGAAAUAAGAAGACCAUUUGAGAAGAGCAGAUAGUUGCCUUAAGAAAAUCUCCAUUCAUCUGUACUCUGGGAUUUGGACUCAAAUCGUAAUUAUACAGUUCCAAGCAGCAUUUUACCCAAAAUCCAACAAAGACAGUUAUGGAGACUGUGCUUGAAAUUUUUGAAAUUCCUAACUAAGAGUCUGGUCUUCUGUGAUGUCUUAUGAGAUGCCUGUGUGAACUAACCAAGCCAUUCUGACAUAAGCACAAAGGGGUACAAGGAGUCAACUCCUCAUAGCGUGAUCCUUGACAAACAACAGAUGUGAGAAAAUGGCUAAAUACAGCCUUCUUCCAUCCUGAAGGUGAGCAAAUUAGAAUUCAUUUUAUGCACUUCAGAGGGUCCCCAGCAAAACAGAGUCCCAGAUAC
Molecule: long non-coding RNA, 652 nt
Filed under: Bos indicus x Bos taurus (hybrid cattle)
Lineage: Eukaryota; Metazoa; Chordata; Mammalia; Artiodactyla; Bovidae
Description: lncRNA (ENSBIXG00005030569.1)
Source: RNAcentral